Long non-coding RNA from Rosa rugosa (rugosa rose), 1321 nucleotides. RefSeq lists it as uncharacterized. The transcript is spliced from 5 exons. The record is from RefSeq and is a predicted model, not a curated record. Lineage: Eukaryota; Viridiplantae; Streptophyta; Magnoliopsida; Rosales; Rosaceae.
GUCGCGCCUAGCUCUCUCUCGACCCAGUAGCAACCCUAGGCAACCCAGAGGAAUAACCCAGCAACAUCCCAUCCAUUACCAGCACCCAACCCAGAUUCCCUUGAUUCCUCUCCAUCAAAAAAGACAGAAGAUUCCUUUGCACUCUCCGAACUAGGUUUUCCCAGAACUGGAGUUCUUCGAUUUCAAGAGCUAGAGUCCGAAGUAUUCGGUAUUGUUAAUUGCAUGACUCCGAUUCGUCGUCGUUGUACUGUCUCCAACUCUGAAGCCGCCGCUGCUAAAUGACGCCAACAAUUUGGCUCAGGGUCAGGGUCUGCCAUCGAUGGAUCCUCGAGAUUGCUGCGCGGGGGGAGGGCCGUGAACGAGGUUGAGGAAAUGCAUGACGAUAACGAAACAGAGACAACCAAAAUGGAAAAUCGGCGACCGGCCAAAACAGAGGUGGGCAACGUCGGGGGACGCCGCUAAUCACAAGUCAAAGACGGGAGCUUUGACGGCAAAGCCUGAGCCUCUGCGUUUGGAAGCCUCUCCAAAUUCUGGAAAGUCUCUUCUUUUAAGUUGCAAGAAUGGAUUUUUGGUGUUUUCUGAUCGGGGUAUAGAAUGAUUGAACAGAGGGACGAGAAUUUGGGCAAUUGGGGAGUGGAGAUAUGGAAUCACUUGGCAUGGAUUUGCAAAGGCUUUCGCAAAAGCAUGGAGAGCCUCCUGCCUAGCUACUCAAGCUGAUCAAGCAAAGAUCGUCAUGCCUGCUGCAAAAACUUUCCUGUUGCAACCGACAGUUUUCAAACUCUGUACAUGUUGAGUGCAUGAGAGACCUUUUUGGAGCUGUCAGGAAGGAACAGAAAGAGGUGGUGGCAAGAAUAAAAGAUCUGAAAGGGGAAGAACGGGGAGUAGGGUCUGUGCUUGAUCAAAAGAAGGGAGCAGAAAUAGUUAAGGAGACGUUGGAGGAGCUAGGAGCACCCGAGAAAGCACAUCAUGCAGCUUGAUAAGGAACUCAGACACUGUUAGAACCCCUGGUUCUGCAACAAGGCGGUCAAGUUCUAUUGCAAAUAACCAAAGAGUAAGAAAUGAUACACAAAGGACUAUUCCAACUGCACUUGAUAUGGACGAGUUUUUUGCCCAAGUUGCUCUAUCUACUCUAUGGAUGCCUUCUAGGCUUUUGUCUUAGUUAGAUUAGGAUCAAGAUAUUAUGCUGAUAAUAACAAUGACAGUACUUGAAAUUGGCUAAUGUAAAAGCUAGCUUGCUAGUUUUGUAUUGUGGUACUGAUGAGAUUGUAUAUUGGUGCGUUAAUAGAUGCAAUGAGAAAUUUGCUGAUUUUAGGUCCUAUAA